UACAGAGGUGCCAAGCGUUAGGCGGAAUCACUGGGCUUAAAGCGCGUGUAGGUGGACGGGUAAGUAUCUUGUGAAAUCCCACGGCUCAACCGUGGAACUGCUGGAUAUACUGCUUGUCUUGAGGCACUUAGGGGCAGCUGGAACAAAUGGUGGAGCGGUGAAAUGCGUAGAUAUCGGGAGGAACACCGGUGGCGAAGGCGGUUCUCUGGGCCUUACCUGACGCUGAGGAGCGAAGCGUGGGAGCGAACAGG
RNAcentral lists this ribosomal RNA (251 nucleotides) under uncultured bacterium. RNAcentral's name for it is "partial 16S ribosomal RNA". It matches the Rfam family "Bacterial small subunit ribosomal RNA", at positions 524 to 776 of the family's 1533-position model. The record is from RNAcentral.